RNAcentral lists this ribosomal RNA (163 nucleotides) under uncultured bacterium. Its description in RNAcentral is "partial 16S ribosomal RNA". It matches the Rfam family "Bacterial small subunit ribosomal RNA", at positions 355 to 511 of the family's 1533-position model. The record is from RNAcentral.
UAGGGAAUCUUCGGCAAUGGACGAAAGUCUGACCGAGCAACGCCGCGUGAGUGAAGAAGGUUUUCGGAUCGUAAACUCUGUUGGUAGAGAAGACGUUGGUGAGAGUGGAAAGCUCAUCAAGUGACGGUAACUACCCAGAAAGGGACGGCUAACUACGUGCCUG